AAUAAUGAGCUUAUAUUUAAACCAGAAACGUUUUGUUUUUGACAAGAGACGAGUAGCUUCGUUCAAAAGAAGUACGGGGUAUCAUUAAAAGGCCGGUUCAAAAUCGUCAUUCAUUAGAUGUUCAUCAUGCGUUUCGAGAUCUUAGGGAAACAGCUAGUCACUUGACUUUGAAAAAGUCUACCCAUAAGAAUGUCAAAACUAUAGUCAACACCAACAGGGAGACCUAGAUGAUCAACAUCUAAAUGCAGAUAAAGCUGCCAUUACAAUAUAGUCAGAGGAACUCUACAAAACACCACAGUAAAGAAGUAAACUGCUGAAUGACAACAUCUUUCAAAAAAUUGAAACUAAAAGAAAAAAGUGUAU
Xenia sp. Carnegie-2017 is the source of this 363-nucleotide long non-coding RNA. RefSeq lists it as uncharacterized. The transcript is spliced from 4 exons. The record is from RefSeq and is a predicted model, not a curated record. NCBI's taxonomy places the organism in Eukaryota, Metazoa, Cnidaria, Anthozoa, Malacalcyonacea, Xeniidae.